AUUUUUUGGACCCCCUUUUAAUCCAAAGGGGUAGGAAAUGCUCUGGAAGUUGCCACAGGAAAGUGGAAUAUCACAGAGAUACUGGUUUUUCUCAGCCCCGCAAGUUACAGAAAAUAGAAAGAAAAAAAGGAAGAACUAGAUAACUUGCAGAAAAUAGGACCCUGAACAUGACGACAGAGCGAAAGAUAGACUCUUCUCCAGCACUACAACAUACAGUGGAUAAUCCUCUGUUUUUUUUCUUUAAGAUGUUUUGGCUAAUUAGACUUGUAAGAGGAAAAAGAAACCUGAUGGUUCACUUCCGUUAUUUUCUUUUGGACUUGAUAAUUCAC
RNAcentral lists this long non-coding RNA (329 nucleotides) under Ricinus communis (castor bean). RNAcentral describes it as "long non-coding RNA (RCOM_LNC001944)". The record is from RNAcentral. Lineage: Eukaryota; Viridiplantae; Streptophyta; Magnoliopsida; Malpighiales; Euphorbiaceae.